Molecule: ribosomal RNA, 446 nt
Filed under: uncultured bacterium
Lineage: Bacteria
Description: SSU rRNA
Rfam family: Bacterial small subunit ribosomal RNA
Source: RNAcentral
AGGAUGAACGCUGGCGGUCUGCUUAACACAUGCAAGUCGAACGGAGUAGCAAUACUUAGUGGCGGACGGGUGAGUAACGCGUGAGAAUCUACCUUCAGGACGGAGACAACAGUUGGAAACGACUGCUAACCCCCGAUGUACCGAAAGGGCAAAUAUUUAUAGCCUGAAGAAGAGCUCGCGUCCGAUUAGCUAGUUGGAGAGGUAAAAGCUCACCAAGGCGACGAUCGGUAGCUGGUCUGAGAGGACGAUCAGCCACACUGGGACUGAGACACGGCCCAGACUCCUACGGGAGGCAGCAGUGGGGAAUUUUCCGCAAUGGACGAAAGUCUGACGGAGCAACGCCGCGUGCAGGAGGAAGGUUUUCGGAUCGUAAACUGCUUUUCUCGGGGACGAGCAAGGACGGUACCCGAGGAAGAAGCCCCGGCUAACUACGUGCCAGCAGCCGC